Molecule: long non-coding RNA, 1912 nt
Organism: Sebastes umbrosus (honeycomb rockfish)
Lineage: Eukaryota; Metazoa; Chordata; Actinopteri; Perciformes; Sebastidae
Exons: 5
Source: RefSeq, a predicted model, not a curated record
AGCACCGCCCUCCUGAUGACAUCACUCUGUCUCUCUGUAGAACAGAAGCAGCAACAUGGCAACCUUCGUCUCUCUGGCGACGUGUCCUCACUUUCCCGCGGUGACGUCCCGUCGUGGUCUUGUCUACAGAGACUCUCUGUCGGUCCCGGGGGGCUUCCAUCGACCCCCCACCACCAGGCUGCAGGUCCACAGCAGACCCACCAGACCUCACCUCCCACAAUGCAUCACUCUGGCUGGCUCCAAGCCGCCGGGCGGUAUGAAGCACCUGGUCCUGACUCACCUGAGGAAGCUGCUGAUGCUGAGCUCCGCCCAGCAGAGAGUCCUCCACCUGCCGGUCUGACGCCUCCACCAGCUGACGGUGAUGAUGAGCUGAUCUGAGAGCUGCUGGACCAUCGGAGGGCGCCGCAGAGGUUCAGAUAGGCAGAGGUCAGACUGACCCUGAGUCAGUUUAUAUUCUGACCAUGAAUAAAAGACGAACGGACGACUGAAGGUGGAACGAAGCGUUAUAAUGCUUCAUAUUUAUAUUAACGUUAAUACCUGAACACCAACAUCAGAGUAGAGGAGGAAGUACUCCCAUUACUUUAGUAAACGUACCGAUACCACACUAUAGAAAUACUCUGUCACAGUAAAAGUACUAAUACCACACUAUAGAAAUACUCUGUUACAGUUAAAGUACUUAUACAACACUAUAGAAAUACUCUGUUACAGUAAAAGUACUAAUACCACACUAUAGAAAUACUCUGUUACAGUAAAAGUACUAAUACAACACUAUAGAAAUACUCUGUUACAGUGAAAGUACUAAUACCACACUAUAGAAAUACUCUGUUACAGUGAAAGUACUAAUACAACACUAUAGAAAUACACUGUUACAGUAAAAGUACUAAUGCCACACUAUAGAAAUACUCUGUUACAGUAAAAGUACUAAUACAACACUAUAGAAAUAAAAAUACUCUGUUACAGUAAAAGUACUUAUACAACACUAUAGAAAUACUCUGUUACAGUAAAAGUACUAAUACCACACUAUAGAAAUACUCUGUUACAGUAAAAGUACUUAUACAACACUAUAGAAAUACUCAGUUACUGUAAAAAUACUAAUACUACAGUGAUUUGGAAAAUAAUGAGAAAUGACAUAUUUUGUGGUUUUGUUUGUACUUGUUGAAUAUUGAAAUCUUUUUGCAGUGUAGAUAUAAAAUGUAUAUAUAAAGAUAAUUAUUAUUAUUAUAGAAGUUAUUACAUUUAAGCAUCAGAACACAUAAAACAAAUAUUAGAUGUUUUUUAGUAUUAUUAAUAGUGUUUGUACUAUGUUGUCUUAUGUCACUGAUACAGUUUACUGUAUAGAAAUACAAUUUUGACCCAUCAAAUGAAAAGUGGCUGUGUGCAGAGAUUCAGAAGAAUGGAACCAGUUUAGUGUCCCAACUGGUUUCUGGUUUCAACUGCCUGGUGUGUUUUGAUAGAAAUGUUAUUUUCCAUCCACUUUACUGACAAACUGAAACAUGUAACUGCAGUUUGCUCUUCAUAUGCAUAUUCAUAUUAUAGAAGAAGAUCAUCUUUAUUUUGACAGCAUGUUCAUGUCAGCAGAUUAAUAUAUUAGUGCUGGACCUCCUUAAUGAAGAACAAUAGAGUGGAUGGUGUUAUGUAACACGCAGCAGGUCAAAGUUCGUCUGAAAUAUUAAUUAGAAAGCAGUACGGAGCCUCGUCUCCUGCCGACAGCUCACUGCUUAAUCUGUUAAUCUGCUCACUUAAUGAAAACCAGCCAGACUGGAGCUGCUUUCAACUUCAACCCAGCAGGGAAAGACCAGUUUAUAUAUAUACAGUAUAUAUAUAUACACACAAAUAUAUAUAUAUAUACUGUAUAUAUACAUAAGCAAUAUAACAAUGUAUAAUAACGAUAAUAAACAAUAUACAACAAUGA